This 253-nucleotide ribosomal RNA is filed under the name uncultured bacterium. Its description in RNAcentral is "partial 16S ribosomal RNA". It matches the Rfam family "Bacterial small subunit ribosomal RNA", at positions 524 to 776 of the family's 1533-position model. The record is from RNAcentral.
AACGUAGGAGGCGAGCGUUAUCCGGAUUUACUGGGUGUAAAGCGCGUGCAGGUGGUUUGGUAAGUUGGAUGUGAAAGCUCCUGGCUUAACUGGGAGAGGUCGUUCAAUACUACCAGACUUGAGGAUGAGAGAGGAAGGUGGAAUUCCGGGUGUAGUGGUGAAAUGCGUAGAUAUCCGGAGGAACACCAGUGGCGAAAGCGGCCUUCUGGCUCAUCACUGACACUCAGACGCGAAAGCUAGGGGAGCGAACGGG